Molecule: non-coding RNA, 97 nt
Organism: Gloeomargarita lithophora Alchichica-D10
Lineage: Bacteria; Bacillati; Cyanobacteriota; Cyanophyceae; Gloeomargaritales; Gloeomargaritaceae
Rfam family: Bacterial small signal recognition particle RNA
About the family: The signal recognition particle (SRP) is a universally conserved ribonucleoprotein involved in the co-translational targeting of proteins to membranes. Archaeal SRP consists of a 7S RNA and homologues of the eukaryotic SRP19 and SRP54 proteins.
Source: Rfam
GACCUGGAACCAUGCGGUUUCAACGCCUGAACCGUGUCAGAACCGGAAGGAAGCAGCACUAAAGGAUGCUUGCGACAGGCGUGGCCUCCGGGUCUUC